This 1403-nucleotide long non-coding RNA is filed under the name Sinocyclocheilus grahami. RNAcentral describes it as "lncRNA (ENSSGRG00000029800.1)". Lineage: Eukaryota; Metazoa; Chordata; Actinopteri; Cypriniformes; Cyprinidae. The record is from RNAcentral.
CACCUGGCUAAAGGUAACGUGACGUCACUGCGUUAGCCACGCCCCACAUUUUUCAUUUGAGCGGAGUUACCAGAGUGUCACGCUUCUGUGCAGUAAUGAGCCACUUUCUGCUAGUCAUUUUCUCUCUCAUCAUCGCCAGUGCUGCUGAGUUUCGCCGAUGCUCUCCCCUAUGGCUUAACGCCAGUCAAGUUAAAGUCAGCUGUAGCGACGUCCAGAUUGCACAGUACUGUGAUCCUGAUCAGAGCUGUCGACACACGAGCAAGCCCGGGGUCUCGCUGGAGAAGCACAGGGAAAGAGGACUCUGCCUAACCAUCACCAACUGCUCCUACGAGUCGUGGUCCUGCGAAGCACUGAGUUACGUCCAUGCCGAAGAAUUUGGGGAGAAUUUUACUGUCCACGUGACGUGCAACCAACCUACUAGCACGUUGCCCAGUCCAGGACCUACAAGCACUUCAGCAACUUCAGGAUCUGCCAGCACUUUGCCCAGUCCAGGCAAUAAUGAGUCACAGUCAGAGUCUCUUUCAGCUGGGGUCAUUGUGCUGAUCAUCUUUGGGCUGAUCAUCGUGUUGAUCAUCUUUGGGCUGAUCAUCUUUGUGCUUUGCAUCCGUUACAAGAAGAGGACUCCUAGAGAAGAGCAUUUGGUUGAUUUGGAAGGCGGGAAGAAAAUCAUGGUGUAAAGUAAUGAUUAAGAAAAACCUACUCCGGGAAUACAACAUGAAGGAGAUCUCUUCUGCCACCUCAACUUGAAUAUGAUGUGCAAUAGUUAAGUUAAGUGAUAUCCUGGCAUACAAGGCAGUCAACAGACCAUUGUCUUGUUGUAGAGGUCUGCAUGAGAGGUCAUCCCACCUGUACGCAGCAAUCAUAAUCCCGUGCCAAACUGUUGGGUCAGAUACCAUGGACGUGCCUUCAAACCUCUACCUUGGUAAACCUACCAGAAGUCUCAAAGUUCUUCUAGAACAGGGAUUUUCUACAUUUGAUGUUUACCUCUGCAACAAAGUCAUGAUAAACUAAAGUACAUUUUACUCUGCAUAAGAGUGUCUGGCAAAUACUUCUGUUUAUAUAUACUGUGUAUUACGCCACUGGGUUUGAUUGUUACAUGACUGGUUUUGGAAUCAGCAUUGGGACAGUAUUGUAAUCUUGUGCCAUCCUGAGGAGGAGGGCUUCUCCACCCGAACAUCUCCCAAGGUUUAUUCCUCUGUAACUAAACCUUUUGGGGAGUUUUUUCUUCACACUGUCACCUUUGGCUUCUUCACUGGGGGACACAAAGACCACAGUAUGUAUUUUAAGAAGUGCUGCUUAAAAUGUAUUUAUAAAUAUUCAGUAUUUUAGUUUUUUAUGAUGUUCUAAAUUAUUUUAUAUUAACUUAACGCUUGCACAAUUUUCCCUUAAAAUAAAAUUUCUUG